AUGGGAACCAUUAAACCAUUCUAACCAGAGAGAGGAUAUGGUUCAUUUGUACUUGAAAAAGGUCACUCUGCUGCCAUGUGGGCAAUGGAUUGGACACAGACAAGAUUAGAGGCUGUUGCCAGAGUCCAGAUGAGAGAUAAGGGUGACCUGGAUCAGGCUGGUGGCGCCAAAGAAAGAGUGCACAGAAUCAAGGAAUAUUGAGGAGGUGGAAUCUACAGACCUGGUGACGACUGGAUGAGGAAUGGGGAUGCCCUGUUGAGGCUACAAGUGCAACCACCACUGAAUCAACCAAACAAAACUUUUUCAUGCAUCGAUUUGGUCUCCACUUCCCAAAUAAGGUCAAGAUUGAGGAUAGCAAGAAUCAGCCUCCACCAUAAAAAAGACCAAAACCCCAAAGGAUGUGAUUUUUCUUUAAAGUUGUUCACUGCAACGAGAGUUUCUAUAUUUGAGAUAUGAGGUCCAGGAGCUGAUGCAAUCUUUCUUCGUUGGGUUUCAAAAGGCAGGCAGGAGAGGCAGCAGGCACCGGGCUCGCGGACUCUGGGUCCCGGGAACACCCACGCGGCUUCAAGAAGAGGGAGCGAGUCUGGAAACCGAAACCGGCCCUGGGCGCACAGACGAUGGCCUCGGGGCUUGCUCGUCCCGCCCGCUGGCCGCAGGUGCGCGAGCACCCCCACCCACCCCUGGGCGAUCUCAGCCCGGGGACCGCCCCCCCGACCCCCAGUCUCCUGUCGGGGGGCGAGGGAGGCGGGGACAGAGGUGGG
This 761-nucleotide long non-coding RNA is filed under the name Equus asinus (donkey). RNAcentral's name for it is "lncRNA (ENSEASG00005026730.1)". The record is from RNAcentral. Lineage: Eukaryota; Metazoa; Chordata; Mammalia; Perissodactyla; Equidae.